Molecule: non-coding RNA, 877 nt
Organism: Erythranthe guttata (spotted monkey flower)
Lineage: Eukaryota; Viridiplantae; Streptophyta; Magnoliopsida; Lamiales; Phrymaceae
Source: RefSeq, a predicted model, not a curated record
GGGUAAUUUUUUAUAAACCCUCCACUCUAAGAUUUUAUAGGUCCUAGUCCAAGUCAUAAGUCCUAUUUUUCUAAACCCCCCUAUUAAUUUUUUUGGCUGAUUUGCCCUUUGCAAUAAAAUAGGAAAAUUUCUUUUAAAAAUAAUUAUUCACCAAAUCAGAUUUUUUAGCUAAAAAAGAGGCAAAGAAAUCUCGUGAGAUUGAAACUGCAAAAUUUUACCUCUCAUCAUUUCUUUUAAUUUAUCCAAUAGCCCUAAUUCUCAAAUCGACAAAAAUUGCUGUAUAUCUUCACACCGCCAUCGAAGGGAGAAACUGCCUCGUUCUCUUUCAAUUUACUCACUUCUCGUUCUCUUUCAAUUUACCCAAUAGGCCUACUUCUCAGAUCGACGGAGAACUGUAAUUCUGCAAACUGCCACGGAAGAGAAAGAUCUGCAAAUCUCGUCAAAUUGAAACAUGCAAAAACUCUCCUCCAUUUCGUUCAACCAAAACUCUGUAAUCAUAGCACCUUAUUGCUGAGAUUGAUGUAGGUUUUGAAUCCGAGAAGAUGGCGCAAAAUCGGAAACGUACAGUCAAAGACAGAGAUUUGGAGCCUACGACCCCAGGCCAGAAGAAAACAAACAAGAGAUUCAUUAGAGGUUGAUGCUACUGACACGAUCAUGUUUCUAGAAGAUCCUCGAUUACGUUUGGAAGUUGUGAAUUCAGUCGGACGUCGAGACUAUGUCCGUUAUGACAUCAACCCAGCCAUAAUCAGUUAUGAUAGAUUGUAGUUUGUUUAUAGACUAUAUUGCAACACUGCUUGUAUCUAUUGAUUUGUAUCUUACAAGAUUUUGUAUUUAAUGUACUUCUUUAUUCCUAAAUAAAAAUGGUUUGUUGGUUUGU